Molecule: ribosomal RNA, 449 nt
Filed under: uncultured bacterium
Lineage: Bacteria
Description: bacterial SSU rRNA
Rfam family: Bacterial small subunit ribosomal RNA
Source: RNAcentral
UUGAACGCUGGCGGCAUGGUUAAAGCAUGCAAGUCGAACGGACCCGCAAGGGUCAGUGGCGGAAGGGUGAGUAAUACGAUCGAACGUGCCCCGAGGUGGGGGAUAGGCAUGGGAAACUGUGCGUAAUACCCCAUGAUGUCGAGAGACCAAAGGUUUACCGCCUUGGGAGCGGCGAUCGUCCUAUCAGGUAGUUGGCGGGGUAACGGCCCACCAAGCCGAAGACGGGUAGCAGGCGUGAGAGCGCGGCCUGCCACAUCGAAACUGAGACACUGUUCGGACUCCUACGGGAGGCUGCAGCGACGAAUCUUCCGCAAUGGGCGAAAGCCUGACGGAGCGAUGCCGCGUGUGGGAUGAAGCGGCUUUGCCGUGUAAACCACUGUCAGGAGGUCGAAAUACUGAUCACCUCCAAAGGAAGGGGCGACUAACUCUGUGCCAGCCGCCGCGGUAAU